RNAcentral lists this ribosomal RNA (1009 nucleotides) under uncultured Verrucomicrobiota bacterium. Its description in RNAcentral is "bacterial SSU rRNA". It matches the Rfam family "Bacterial small subunit ribosomal RNA", at positions 509 to 1504 of the family's 1533-position model. Lineage: Bacteria; Pseudomonadati; Verrucomicrobiota. The record is from RNAcentral.
CAGCAGCCGCGGUAAUACAGAGGUGGCGAGCGUUGUUCGGAUUUACUGGGCGUAAAGCGUACGUAGGUGGUACUGUGUGUCGGGUGUGAAAGCCCACGGCUCAACCGUGGAAUUGCACUCGAAACUGCAGAACUAGAGUGCAGGAGGGGAGAGCGGAAUUCUUGGUGUACCGGUGAAAUGCGUUGAUAUCAAGAAGAACACCGGUGGCGAAGGCGGCUCUCUGGAAUGUUACUGACACUGAGGUACGAAAGCUAGGGGAGCGAACAGGAUUAGAUACCCUGGUAGUCCUAGCCGUAAACGUUGCACACUUGGUGUGGGAGGUAUUGACCCCUUCCGUGCCGGAGCUAACGCGUUAAGUGUGCCGCCUGGGGAGUACGGCCGCAAGGCUAAAACUCAAAGAAAUUGACGGGGGCCCGCACAAGCGGAGGAGCAUGUGGCUUAAUUCCAUGCAACGCGAAGAACCUUACCUGGGCUUGACAUGGCGACCUUCGGGGGUUGAAAGUCGAAAGCCUUUCGUUUAACAGAUCACAGGUGCUGCAUGGCUGUCGUCAGUUCGUGCCGUGAGGUGUUGGGUUAAGUCCCGCAACGAACGCAACCCCUGUGGUUAGUUGCCACUCCCAGGUUCAGGCCUGGAAGCACUCUAGCCAGACUGCCUGUACAAGCAGGAGGAAGGUGGGGACGACGUCAAGUCAGUAUGGCCCUUACGUCCAGGGCUGCACACGUGCUACAAUGGCCGGUGCAAUAGGCAGCAAUACCGCGAGGUGGAGCUAAUCCCCAAAAACCGGCCCCAGUUCGGAUUGAAGUCUGCAACUCGACUCCAUGAAGUUGGAUUCGCUAGUAACGCCGUAUCAGCUACGACGGCGUGAAUACGCUCCCGGGCCUUGUACACACCGCCCGUCACAUCAUGAAAGCCGUCUGCACCCGAAGUCGCUGAGCCAACCAUUCAUUUGGAGGCAGGUGCCGAAGGUGUGGGUGGUGAUUGGGAUGAAGUCGUAACAAGGUAACCGUA